GAGUGUGUUUCUAGCUCUUAUCAGUUUAGUGUCCAUGUGGUGCCAAGUACUUGUCUCCCUUUUGUGGUUCUGGGUAGGUAUCCCUUCAGAGUUGGCUGCUUAUGAAGAAGAUGCCCAAAUAAGUCCAGAAGAGAUAACCAAACACAACAGAUCUGCAGGUCGCAACACAGAACCACACACACACAUGCCGCACCAUGAAAAAGACAAACAUGAUGCUUCUGAGAGAUCAUGACUUUUCCGUCAAUGAGUCCAGUGACACUGAGUUGGUUGAAGAGCUGGGAAAAGAAUUCAAAUGGCAGCUUCUAAAAUUAACUUCUUCAAAAGGGAAGGAGCAAGAGAUGAGCCGGGAAAGAAAAGGAGUCAAGACAGAGAUGAACCCAGCCACAUGGAAGAGAAAGUCAGCAUGGAAACAACUUGAAAGGCAGCAAACAGAAAAGAGGAAGCCUUAAAGAGCAGGGGGAAACGACCCCUGAUGGACGUGAUCAGGCAGAAGAAAUACCACGGGUGGAAGACAGGACUGAGUUAAUGCCACAUUCAGACAUCAAAUAGAACAUCCGAGAACCACGGUGCAUGGCAAGCGACUAAACGACAUUUUAAUUAUAUUUUUGGUCAUUGUAUUUUUUUUAAGAAUGGCAAAAUCAGUUUUCACAAUUGUCGAUUGGAUCUCUUUUUAUUAAUCUUUCCGCCAGAGUGGUAUCUGAGGUGUUCUGAGUGUGGCUGGGGAGAGUUGUCCUCACUUUGUUGCUGUGCGACUGCUUUACUUAAAUCCCAUUUGUCAAUUCUUGCCUAUGCCUGUAUCAUUAAUUCCUUGAACCCACA
Molecule: long non-coding RNA, 819 nt
Filed under: Rattus norvegicus (Norway rat)
Lineage: Eukaryota; Metazoa; Chordata; Mammalia; Rodentia; Muridae
Description: long non-coding RNA NONRATT033764
Source: RNAcentral